AUAGAUACACAAUAAUUUGUAUCUCUAUGUUGACUCUCUCUGUGUACUUAUCUGAAUUAACUCUCCUCCGUGAAAUUCACUCUCCACUGUUUCGACAUCUAGUACUAUUCAUCUUCUUGUUGAAAUGUUUUGUUAAAGUUGGUAAUUGAGCUGUUUUUGAACUUUGAAUUUUGAGGUAUGGCUGAGCUUCUAGGGUUUGGUGAUCUGUUGAUUAUUUGUUGGAUUAUGUGCUAUAACUAUGUGGUGCUGCUUCCUUGAUUGAAUUGCUGAAAGUUAAUUGAAGUUGACUUUGUUGUCUUCUGGGUUUACGUUGAAUUAUUUUGGGGUUUUUGGUUUUCUUUUGUCGUGAAUUCUUUAGAGUUUGUAUGGAUAAGAACUUCAUUACUGGUAAUUUUUCAUUUUUUACAAUUUAUGAAUGCAAUUUUGAUUUUUAAUUACCUUCUGAAUAUAUUGUGGAAAUAUAGAGUAUUUCUAUGUGAGACUAUACUGAGUAGUUGUUGUUGUUGUAUAGAGUAUUUCUAUGUGGCAUAAAGAGUGAUUUUCUUGAGCACAUGUGUAGUAUACCGGUUUCAUAAUAGAAAGAAAGAAAAGAAAUUGAGUAUAAGUUUGAUUUUUAUUUUUUAAAUUUCAGACAACUGAGGAAAUGAGCUUUCCUUCAUGUAGAUCUUAGUUAAAGAUGGUUUCCUUGGAGUGUAUGGGUGGUGAGGUGGUUUAUAGGUUUCUUGAUAGGUCUGAAUUGGGUUACUUUGAUGGUAAGUUUGGGUUUUCAUGAGUUUGGGAGGAAAGAUCAAAGGAAUUUUUUUUUCACUGUUGUCUUUACUGGGUUCUGAUAAAAAAAUCGGUCUUUACAUGGUUGUCAUGGGAAUGAUAAAGAAAAGGUGUGCAGAAGUAGCGUAUUAUCUUUGUUUUGUCAUCGGAAUGAUAGAACUUCCAAUUUUUUGUGAACUUUAGGGGAAUUAAGCUUUUGCUUAGGCAGAUAUUGAUCAAAGAUGGAGUCUGUGGAGUAAAUAGUAAUAUAUUGUAAGUAAAGAAGAAAAAGUAUGAAUGUUUUCCGACAGCCGGGGUCAUGCUUUUCAGGAUGGUUUUUGAUCAGCUUUCCGGAUUUUUUGGCAGUGUGGGAAAAAAGUUAAAACUUAUUAGCUCCUCUUAGAACUUCCGUUAGUUUUAGAGUUGAAGAUCAAAUCUGUCACCUUUUUGCAUACAUCAAGGACUAUACCGAUCACCAGGAAUAUAUCAAGGACCAAUAUAAAGCAACCCCAAUAUAAUACGGACUAUUUUGGUCAUUUCUUCCGUAACCAACCAUUUUUGUCCAAUAAAUUACAUAUCCGACGAUCAAAGUUACUGUUUUCACCUCAUACAUUCAACUCUGCUCUGGCGAACAUUUUUGCUUCUCAAAGCUCGCCUCCGACCACUUUCCUCCUGAAACCGGUUUGCUUCUUCUCUUAAUCUGUUCUAUUUCC
RNAcentral lists this long non-coding RNA (1460 nucleotides) under Nicotiana benthamiana. RNAcentral describes it as "long non-coding RNA (NBEN_LNC023685)". Lineage: Eukaryota; Viridiplantae; Streptophyta; Magnoliopsida; Solanales; Solanaceae. The record is from RNAcentral.